This 753-nucleotide ribosomal RNA is filed under the name uncultured Acinetobacter sp. Its description in RNAcentral is "bacterial SSU rRNA". It matches the Rfam family "Bacterial small subunit ribosomal RNA", at positions 28 to 776 of the family's 1533-position model. The record is from RNAcentral. Lineage: Bacteria; Pseudomonadati; Pseudomonadota; Gammaproteobacteria; Moraxellales; Moraxellaceae.
AUUGAACGCUGGCGGCAGGCUUAACACAUGCAAGUCGAGCGGGGAAGGGUAGCUUGCUACCUGACCUAGCGGCGGACGGGUGAGUAAUGCUUAGGAAUCUGCCUAUUAGUGGGGGACAACAUUCCGAAAGGAAUGCUAAUACCGCAUACGCCCUACGGGGGAAAGCAGGGGAUCUUCGGACCUUGCGCUAAUAGAUGAGCCUAAGUCAGAUUAGCUAGUUGGUGGGGUAAAGGCCUACCAAGGCGACGAUCUGUAGCGGGUCUGAGAGGAUGAUCCGCCACACUGGGACUGAGACACGGCCCAGACUCCUACGGGAGGCAGCAGUGGGGAAUAUUGGACAAUGGGCGCAAGCCUGAUCCAGCCAUGCCGCGUGUGUGAAGAAGGCCUUUUGGUUGCAAAGCACUUUAAGCGAGGAGGAGGCUACUUGGAUUAAUACUCUAGGAUAGUGGACGUUACUCGCAGAAUAAGCACCGGCUAACUCUGUGCCAGCAGCCGCGGUAAUACAGAGGGUGUGAGCGUUAAUCGGAUUUACUGGGCGUAAAGCGUGCGUAGGCGGCUUUUUAAGUCGGAUGUGAAAUCCCUGAGCUUAACUUAGGAAUUGCAUUCGAUACUGGGAAGCUAGAGUAUGGGAGAGGAUGGUAGAAUUCCAGGUGUAGCGGUGAAAUGCGUAGAGAUCUGGAGGAAUACCGAUGGCGAAAGCAGCCAUCUGGCCUAAUACUGACGCUGAGGUACGAAAGCAUGGGAGCAAACAGG